Molecule: ribosomal RNA, 470 nt
Filed under: uncultured bacterium
Lineage: Bacteria
Description: bacterial SSU rRNA
Rfam family: Bacterial small subunit ribosomal RNA
Source: RNAcentral
AUUGAACGCUGGCGGUAUGCUUAAGACAUGCAAGUCGAACGGUAACAGACCUUGGUGCUGACGAGUGGCGGACGGGUGAGUAACACGUGGGAAUCUACCUUGUAGUGGGGGAUAAGCCAGGGAAACUUGGACUAAUACCGCAUACGCCCUAAGGGGGAAAGGAGUAAUUCGCUAUAAGAUGAGCCCGCGUCUGAUUAGCUAGUUGGUGAGGUAAAGGCUCACCAAGGCGACGAUCAGUAGCUGGUCUGAGAGGAUGACCAGCCACAUUGGGACUGAGACACGGCCCAGACUCCUACGGGAGGCAGCAGUCGGGAAUAUUGGACAAUGGGGGCAACCCUGAUCCAGCAAUACCGCGUGUGUGAAGAAGGCCUGCGGGUUGUAAAGCACUUUUAGUAGGGAAGAUAAUGACGUUACCUACAGAAAAAGCACCGGCUAACUCCGUGCCAGCAGCCGCGGUAAGGUGACGCUCU